AGUGAACGCUGGCGGUAGGCCUAACACAUGCAAGUCGAACGGCAGCACAGUAAGAGCUUGCUCUUACGGGUGGCGAGUGGCGGACGGGUGAGGAAUACAUCGGAAUCUACUUUUUCGUGGGGGAUAACGUAGGGAAACUUACGCUAAUACCGCAUACGCCCUACGGGUGAAAGCAGGGGAUCUUCGGACCUUGCGCGAUUGAAUGAGCCGAUGUCGGAUUAGCUAGUUGGCGGGGUAAAGGCCCACCAAGGCGACGAUCCGUAGCUGGUCUGAGAGGAUGAUCAGCCACACGGGAACUGAGACACGGUCCAGACUCCUACGGGAGGCAGCAGUGGGGAAUAGGGGACAAUGGGCGCAAGCCUGAUCCAGCCAUACCGAGUGGGUGAAGAAGGCGUUCGGGUUGUAAAGCCCUUUUGUUGGGAAAGAAAAGCAGCAGGUUAAUACCCCGCUGUUCUGACGGUACCCAAAGAAUAAGCACCGGCUAACUUCGUG
This 492-nucleotide ribosomal RNA is filed under the name uncultured bacterium. RNAcentral describes it as "partial 16S ribosomal RNA". It matches the Rfam family "Bacterial small subunit ribosomal RNA", at positions 29 to 507 of the family's 1533-position model. The record is from RNAcentral.